RNAcentral lists this ribosomal RNA (442 nucleotides) under Pseudo-nitzschia fraudulenta. Its description in RNAcentral is "partial Bacterial small subunit ribosomal RNA". It matches the Rfam family "Bacterial small subunit ribosomal RNA", at positions 1071 to 1532 of the family's 1533-position model. Lineage: Eukaryota; Bacillariophyta; Bacillariophyceae; Bacillariales; Bacillariaceae. The record is from RNAcentral.
GAUGUUGGGUUAAGUCCCGCAACGAGCGCAAUCCUUAUCCUUAGUUGCCAGCACGUCUGGGUGGGCACUCUAAGGAAACUGCCGGUGCUAAGCCGGAGGAAGGUGGGGAUGACGUCAAGUCCUCAUGGCCCUUACACCCUGGGCUACACACGUGCUACAAUGGCAGUGACAAUGGGCUAAUCCCAAAAAGCUGUCUCAGUUCGGAUUGGGGUCUGCAACUCGACCCCAUGAAGUUGGAAUCGCUAGUAAUCGCGGAUCAGCAUGCCGCGGUGAAUACGUUCCCAGGCCUUGUACACACCGCCCGUCACACCAUGGGAGUUGGAUCAACCCGAAGCUGGUGCGCUAACUCGCAAGAGAGGCAGCCAACCACGGUGGGUUCAGCGACUGGGGUGAAGUCGUAACAAGGUAGCCGUAGGAGAACCUGCGGCUGGAUCACCUCCUU